RNAcentral lists this ribosomal RNA (498 nucleotides) under uncultured bacterium. RNAcentral describes it as "bacterial SSU rRNA". It matches the Rfam family "Bacterial small subunit ribosomal RNA", at positions 8 to 523 of the family's 1533-position model. The record is from RNAcentral.
AGAGUUUGAUCCUGGCUCAGGAUGAACGCUGACAGAAUGCUUAACACAUGCAAGUCUACUUGAAGCAACUUCGGUUGUGGAUGGUGGCGGACGGGUGAGUAACGCGUAAAGAACUUGCCCCCUAGUCUGGGACAACUGUUGGAAAUGACAGCUAAUACUGGAUAUUAUGAGACCUUGGCAUCAAGGACUUAUGAGAGCUAUAUGCGCUAGGGGAGAGCUUUGCGUCCUAUUAGCUAGUUGGUGAGGUAAUGGCUCACCAAGGCGACGAUAGGUAGCCGGCCUGAGAGGGUGAACGGCCACAAGGGGACUGAGACACGGCCCUUACUCCUACGGGAGGCAGCAGUGGGGAAUAUUGGACAAUGGACCAAAAGUCUGAUCCAGCAAUUCUGUGUGCUUGAUGAAGGCCUUCGGGUUGUAAAGAGCUUUAAGUAGGGAAGAAGAAAGUGACGGUACCUACAGAAUAAGCGACGGCUAAAUACGUGCCAGCAGCCGCGGUAA